Non-coding RNA from Danio rerio (zebrafish), 700 nucleotides. The record is from RefSeq and is a predicted model, not a curated record. Lineage: Eukaryota; Metazoa; Chordata; Actinopteri; Cypriniformes; Danionidae.
UGCAGAUGGCGAGUCUUGCUCUGAUCUCCACACAUUCAGUUGUUUCUCCUGGAGAAAACGUCCAGUUCAGAUGCUCAACACCUAAACCGAGAUGCAGUGCUAAUGCUGAAUUCCAGCUCUUCAUAAAUGGAUCAUCUUUAUCCUCACAGACACAUGUGUCAAAUGUGACUUUCAGCCUUAAUGUCGACGUCUCGCAUCAGGGUGAAUACAGCUGUCAAUACUCUUACCAGAGGAGCCUUAAAUCAACAUUGAGUAGCACUGUGACCAUCACUGUGGUGCACUUGCAGCAGCCCAGUAUUUCUCCCAGUACUCCUGAUGGAGGGUUUGUCGUGGGCCCUCAGGGGCCAGUGAUCACCAGAGGCCACAGUUUCACUAUCACCUGUUCCAUUAAUUCUUAGUAUCCUGGAGGCUCUUUCUUCCUGUUCAGAGAAUCAAAUAUUCACAGGAUUCAACGGUCUGUCAGUAUCUCUGCCUCCUUCUCCUUUCCUGAGGCAGAUUAUUCAGAUGAGGGAAUCUACAGUUGUGUUUAUGAAGUCAGUGUCUCCUCACGCUCCUUCCGUUCCUCUGCCUCUGAACUGCUGCUCAUCACUAUCACAGCGUCUCUGCUGUCUGCUGUCAUUGGUGCUGCACUUUCAGCUGGACUGCUCUUACUGACCGUCCUCAUCAUCGUCCUGUUUCUUAAGAGGAGACAGAAGAAGAA